Molecule: ribosomal RNA, 115 nt
Filed under: Sinocyclocheilus rhinocerous
Lineage: Eukaryota; Metazoa; Chordata; Actinopteri; Cypriniformes; Cyprinidae
Source: RNAcentral
CACGGCAGCCAUAUCACCCUGCAGCCCAAGACUGGUUGCCCACUGAAGCUAAGCAGGGUUGAGCUGGUCAGUACCUGGAUGGGAGACUCCUGGGAAAACUAGGUUGCUGCUGGAA